UACGAAGGGGGCGAGCGUUGUUCGGAAUUACUGGGCGUAAAGGGCGCGUAGGCGGCCUUCUAAGUCGAACGUGAAAUCCCUGGGCUCAACCCAGGAACUGCGUCCGAUACUGAAAGGCUUGAAUCCGGGAGAGGGAUGCGGAAUUCCAGGUGUAGCGGUGAAAUGCGUAGAUAUCUGGAGGAACACCGGUGGCGAAGGCGGCAUCCUGGACCGGUAUUGACGCUGAGGCGCGAAAGCCAGGGGAGCAAACGGG
Molecule: ribosomal RNA, 253 nt
Filed under: uncultured bacterium
Lineage: Bacteria
Description: partial 16S ribosomal RNA
Rfam family: Bacterial small subunit ribosomal RNA
Source: RNAcentral